UGAAGUUACGCAGUUACGUGUGGUGGUUGUCACGAUGGAAGAGGGCGGUGCUAAGGGCAGUGGUGGAGAAAAUAGAAGAGAAGAAUGGCGGCAAAGUGGAGGUCUAGUGGUGACGAUGGUGGUUCGAGGCAAAUGAGUGGUGGAGGAUAGGAGAAAAAAUAAUAUAAAUGGUGGUUGAUGGCUAAAAUAAAAGAAAAAGGGAGAAAAUAGGAAGGGGCAAAAGAGGGGGUGGAAAAAAUGAAUAGAGAAAUAAAAGAUGAGGAACAAAGGUGUCAUUCACCUUGUCCAGGUUCAAUGUAUGUCACACAAGGUAAGGGUGAAGAAAAUAGGCAUGUAGAGGGGAUAAAGGAGCAAAAAGGGGAUCAUAGGAGUGAAAAGGGGGCUAUCGAGGGAAUGUUGACC
This 402-nucleotide long non-coding RNA is filed under the name Gossypium raimondii (Peruvian cotton). RNAcentral's name for it is "long non-coding RNA (GRAI_LNC002787)". Lineage: Eukaryota; Viridiplantae; Streptophyta; Magnoliopsida; Malvales; Malvaceae. The record is from RNAcentral.